Molecule: long non-coding RNA, 5302 nt
Filed under: Homo sapiens (human)
Lineage: Eukaryota; Metazoa; Chordata; Mammalia; Primates; Hominidae
Description: non-protein coding XIST:29
Rfam family: X-chromosome inactivation gene exon 4 (bases 2511-2636)
Source: RNAcentral
AUAUUUCUUACUCUCUCGGGGCUGGAAGCUUCCUGACUGAAGAUCUCUCUGCACUUGGGGUUCUUUCUAGAACAUUUUCUAGUCCCCCAACACCCUUUAUGGCGUAUUUCUUUAAAAAAAUCACCUAAAUUCCAUAAAAUAUUUUUUUAAAUUCUAUACUUUCUCCUAGUGUCUUCUUGACACGUCCUCCAUAUUUUUUUAAAGAAAGUAUUUGGAAUAUUUUGAGGCAAUUUUUAAUAUUUAAGGAAUUUUUCUUUGGAAUCAUUUUUGGUUGACAUCUCUGUUUUUUGUGGAUCAGUUUUUUACUCUUCCACUCUCUUUUCUAUAUUUUGCCCAUCGGGGCUGCGGAUACCUGGUUUUAUUAUUUUUUCUUUGCCCAACGGGGCCGUGGAUACCUGCCUUUUAAUUCUUUUUUAUUCGCCCAUCGGGGCCGCGGAUACCUGCUUUUUAUUUUUUUUUCCUUAGCCCAUCGGGGUAUCGGAUACCUGCUGAUUCCCUUCCCCUCUGAACCCCCAACACUCUGGCCCAUCGGGGUGACGGAUAUCUGCUUUUUAAAAAUUUUCUUUUUUUGGCCCAUCGGGGCUUCGGAUACCUGCUUUUUUUUUUUUUAUUUUUCCUUGCCCAUCGGGGCCUCGGAUACCUGCUUUAAUUUUUGUUUUUCUGGCCCAUCGGGGCCGCGGAUACCUGCUUUGAUUUUUUUUUUUCAUCGCCCAUCGGUGCUUUUUAUGGAUGAAAAAAUGUUGGUUUUGUGGGUUGUUGCACUCUCUGGAAUAUCUACACUUUUUUUUGCUGCUGAUCAUUUGGUGGUGUGUGAGUGUACCUACCGCUUUGGCAGAGAAUGACUCUGCAGUUAAGCUAAGGGCGUGUUCAGAUUGUGGAGGAAAAGUGGCCGCCAUUUUAGACUUGCCGCAUAACUCGGCUUAGGGCUAGUCGUUUGUGCUAAGUUAAACUAGGGAGGCAAGAUGGAUGAUAGCAGGUCAGGCAGAGGAAGUCAUGUGCAUUGCAUGAGCUAAACCUAUCUGAAUGAAUUGAUUUGGGGCUUGUUAGGAGCUUUGCGUGAUUGUUGUAUCGGGAGGCAGUAAGAAUCAUCUUUUAUCAGUACAAGGGACUAGUUAAAAAUGGAAGGUUAGGAAAGACUAAGGUGCAGGGCUUAAAAUGGCGAUUUUGACAUUGCGGCAUUGCUCAGCAUGGCGGGCUGUGCUUUGUUAGGUUGUCCAAAAUGGCGGAUCCAGUUCUGUCGCAGUGUUCAAGUGGCGGGAAGGCCACAUCAUGAUGGGCGAGGCUUUGUUAAGUGGUUAGCAUGGUGGUGGACAUGUGCGGUCACACAGGAAAAGAUGGCGGCUGAAGGUCUUGCCGCAGUGUAAAACAUGGCGGGCCUCUUUGUCUUUGCUGUGUGCUUUUCGUGUUGGGUUUUGCCGCAGGGACAAUAUGGCAGGCGUUGUCAUAUGUAUAUCAUGGCUUUUGUCACGUGGACAUCAUGGCGGGCUUGCCGCAUUGUUAAAGAUGGCGGGUUUUGCCGCCUAGUGCCACGCAGAGCGGGAGAAAAGGUGGGAUGGACAGUGCUGGAUUGCUGCAUAACCCAACCAAUUAGAAAUGGGGGUGGAAUUGAUCACAGCCAAUUAGAGCAGAAGAUGGAAUUAGACUGAUGACACACUGUCCAGCUACUCAGCGAAGACCUGGGUGAAUUAGCAUGGCACUUCGCAGCUGUCUUUAGCCAGUCAGGAGAAAGAAGUGGAGGGGCCACGUGUAUGUCUCCCAGUGGGCGGUACACCAGGUGUUUUCAAGGUCUUUUCAAGGACAUUUAGCCUUUCCACCUCUGUCCCCUCUUAUUUGUCCCCUCCUGUCCAGUGCUGCCUCUUGCAGUGCUGGAUAUCUGGCUGUGUGGUCUGAACCUCCCUCCAUUCCUCUGUAUUGGUGCCUCACCUAAGGCUAAGUAUACCUCCCCCCCCACCCCCCAACCCCCCCAACUCCCCACCCCCACCCCCCACCCCCCACCUCCCCACCCCCCUACCCCCCUACCCCCCUACCCCCCUCUGGUCUGCCCUGCACUGCACUGUUGCCAUGGGCAGUGCUCCAGGCCUGCUUGGUGUGGACAUGGUGGUGAGCCGUGGCAAGGACCAGAAUGGAUCACAGAUGAUCGUUGGCCAACAGGUGGCAGAAGAGGAAUUCCUGCCUUCCUCAAGAGGAACACCUACCCCUUGGCUAAUGCUGGGGAUGUCAAAAGAUCGGCCCAGCUCAGGGAGCAGUUUGCCCUACUAGCUCCUCGGACAGCUGUAAAGAAGAGUCUCUGGCUCUUUAGAAUACUGAUCCCAUUGAAGAUACCACGCUGCAUGUGUCCUUAGUAGUCAUGUCUCCUUAGGCUCCUCUUGGACAUUCUGAGCAUGUGAGACCUGAGGACUGCAAACAGCUAUAAGAGGCUCCAAAUUAAUCAUAUCUUUCCCUUUGAGAAUCUGGCCAAGCUCCAGCUAAUCUACUUGGAUGGGUUGCCAGCUAUCUGGAGAAAAAGAUCUUCCUCAGAAGAAUAGGCUUGUUGUUUUACAGUGUUAGUGAUCCAUUCCCUUUGACGAUCCCUAGGUGGAGAUGGGGCAUGAGGAUCCUCCAGGGGAAAAGCUCACUACCACUGGGCAACAACCCUAGGUCAGGAGGUUCUGUCAAGAUACUUUCCUGGUCCCAGAUAGGAAGAUAAAGUCUCAAAAACAACCACCACACGUCAAGCUCUUCAUUGUUCCUAUCUGCCAAAUCAUUAUACUUCCUACAAGCAGUGCAGAGAGCUGAGUCUUCAGCAGGUCCAAGAAAUUUGAACACACUGAAGGAAGUCAGCCUUCCCACCUGAAGAUCAACAUGCCUGGCACUCUAGCACUUGAGGAUAGCUGAAUGAAUGUGUAUUUCUUUGUCUCUUUCUUUCUUGUCUUUGCUCUUUGUUCUCUAUCUAAAGUGUGUCUUACCCAUUUCCAUGUUUCUCUUGCUAAUUUCUUUCGUGUGUGCCUUUGCCUCAUUUUCUCUUUUUGUUCACAAGAGUGGUCUGUGUCUUGUCUUAGACAUAUCUCUCAUUUUUCAUUUUGUUGCUAUUUCUCUUUGCUCUCCUAGAUGUGGCUCUUCUUUCACGCUUUAUUUCAUGUCUCCUUUUUGGGUCACAUGCUGUGUGCUUUUUGUCCUUUUCUUGUUCUGUCUACCUCUCCUUUCUCUGCCUACCUCUCUUUUCUCUUUGUGAACUGUGAUUAUUUGUUACCCCUUCCCCUUCUCGUUCGUUUUAAAUUUCACCUUUUUUCUGAGUCUGGCCUCCUUUCUGCUGUUUCUACUUUUUAUCUCACAUUUCUCAUUUCUGCAUUUCCUUUCUGCCUCUCUUGGGCUAUUCUCUCUCUCCUCCCCUGCGUGCCUCAGCAUCUCUUGCUGUUUGUGAUUUUCUAUUUCAGUAUUAAUCUCUGUUGGCUUGUAUUUGUUCUCUGCUUCUUCCCUUUCUACUCACCUUUGAGUAUUUCAGCCUCUUCAUGAAUCUAUCUCCCUCUCUUUGAUUUCAUGUAAUCUCUCCUUAAAUAUUUCUUUGCAUAUGUGGGCAAGUGUACGUGUGUGUGUGUCAUGUGUGGCAGAGGGGCUUCCUAACCCCUGCCUGAUAGGUGCAGAACGUCGGCUAUCAGAGCAAGCAUUGUGGAGCGGUUCCUUAUGCCAGGCUGCCAUGUGAGAUGAUCCAAGACCAAAACAAGGCCCUAGACUGCAGUAAAACCCAGAACUCAAGUAGGGCAGAAGGUGGAAGGCUCAUAUGGAUAGAAGGCCCAAAGUAUAAGACAGAUGGUUUGAGACUUGAGACCCGAGGACUAAGAUGGAAAGCCCAUGUUCCAAGAUAGAUAGAAGCCUCAGGCCUGAAACCAACAAAAGCCUCAAGAGCCAAGAAAACAGAGGGUGGCCUGAAUUGGACCGAAGGCCUGAGUUGGAUGGAAGUCUCAAGGCUUGAGUUAGAAGUCUUAAGACCUGGGACAGGACACAUGGAAGGCCUAAGAACUGAGACUUGUGACACAAGGCCAACGACCUAAGAUUAGCCCAGGGUUGUAGCUGGAAGACCUACAACCCAAGGAUGGAAGGCCCCUGUCACAAAGCCUACCUAGAUGGAUAGAGGACCCAAGCGAAAAAGGUAUCUCAAGACUAACGGCCGGAAUCUGGAGGCCCAUGACCCAGAACCCAGGAAGGAUAGAAGCUUGAAGACCUGGGGAAAUCCCAAGAUGAGAACCCUAAACCCUACCUCUUUUCUAUUGUUUACACUUCUUACUCUUAGAUAUUUCCAGUUCUCCUGUUUAUCUUUAAGCCUGAUUCUUUUGAGAUGUACUUUUUGAUGUUGCCGGUUACCUUUAGAUUGACAGUAUUAUGCCUGGGCCAGUCUUGAGCCAGCUUUAAAUCACAGCUUUUACCUAUUUGUUAGGCUAUAGUGUUUUGUAAACUUCUGUUUCUAUUCACAUCUUCUCCACUUGAGAGAGACACCAAAAUCCAGUCAGUAUCUAAUCUGGCUUUUGUUAACUUCCCUCAGGAGCAGACAUUCAUAUAGGUGAUACUGUAUUUCAGUCCUUUCUUUUGACCCCAGAAGCCCUAGACUGAGAAGAUAAAAUGGUCAGGUUGUUGGGGAAAAAAAAGUGCCAGGCUCUCUAGAGAAAAAUGUGAAGAGAUGCUCCAGGCCAAUGAGAAGAAUUAGACAAGAAAUACACAGAUGUGCCAGACUUCUGAGAAGCACCUGCCAGCAACAGCUUCCUUCUUUGAGCUUAGUCCAUCCCUCAUGAAAAAUGACUGACCACUGCUGGGCAGCAGGAGGGAUGAUGACCAACUAAUUCCCAAACCCCAGUCUCAUUGGUACCAGCCUUGGGGAACCACCUACACUUGAGCCACAAUUGGUUUUGAAGUGCAUUUACAAGUUUCUGGCAUCACUACCACUACUGAUUAAACAAGAAUAAGAGAACAUUUUAUCAUCAUCUGCUUUAUUCACAUAAAUGAAGUUGUGAUGAAUAAAUCUGCUUUUAUGCAGACACAAGGAAUUAAGUGGCUUCGUCAUUGUCCUUCUACCUCAAAGAUAAUUUAUUCCAAAAGCUAAGAUAAAUGGAAGACUCUUGAACUUGUGAACUGAUGUGAAAUGCAGAAUCUCUUUUGAGUCUUUGCUGUUUGGAAGAUUGAAAAAUAUUGUUCAGCAUGGGUGACCACCAGAAAGUAAUCUUAAGCCAUCUAGAUGUCACAAUUGAAACAAACUGGGGAGUUGGUUGCUAUUGUAAAAUAAAAUAUACUGUUUUGAAAACUUUGUAUUUUGAUGUGACAAUUUCUAACUCAC